AAGGAACGCUAGCUAUAUGCUUAACACAUGCAAGUCGAACGUUGUUUUCAGGGAGCUAGGCAGAAAGAAAAAAGGCUCCUAGCUAAAGGUAUCUUGUCUCGCCCAGGAGGUGAGAACAGUUGAGAACAAAGUGGCGAACGAGUGCGUAACGCGUGGGAAUUUGCCGAACAGUUCGGGCCAAAUCCUGAAGAAAGCUAAAAAGCGUUGUUUGAUGAGCCUGCGUAGUAUUAGGUAGUUGGUCAGGUAAGGCUGACCAAGCCAAUGAUGCUUAGCUAGUCUUUUUGGAUGAUCAGCCACACUGGGACUGAGACACGACCAAGACUCCCACGGGGGGUAGCAGUGGGGAAUCUUGGACAAUGGGCGAAAGCCCGAUCCAGCAAUAUCGUGUGAGUGAAGAAGGGUAAUGCCGCUUGUAAAGCUCUUUCGUUGAGUGCGCGAUCAUGACAGGACUCGAGGAAGAAGACCCGGCUAACUCCGUUCCAGCCGCCGCCGUAAAAC
Molecule: ribosomal RNA, 498 nt
Filed under: uncultured bacterium
Lineage: Bacteria
Description: bacterial SSU rRNA
Rfam family: Bacterial small subunit ribosomal RNA
Source: RNAcentral